This is a small nucleolar RNA of Fulmarus glacialis (Northern fulmar), 93 nucleotides long. It matches the Rfam family "Small nucleolar RNA SNORD17", at positions 1 to 94 of the family's 238-position model. From Rfam's summary of the family: The snoRNA HBI-43 belongs to the C/D family of snoRNAs, guiding 2'O-ribose methylation at position U3797 of the 28S rRNA. The record is from Rfam. NCBI's taxonomy places the organism in Eukaryota, Metazoa, Chordata, Aves, Procellariiformes, Procellariidae.
GUGAGGUGAUGACAAAGUUUAUCCAUUCUCUGAAUGCAGUGGUGCUGCCCUCCUGCAGCACCCCGAUUCCUGUUCUAGGGUCUGGGUGCUGUG